RNAcentral lists this non-coding RNA (70 nucleotides) under Schistosoma curassoni. Lineage: Eukaryota; Metazoa; Platyhelminthes; Trematoda; Strigeidida; Schistosomatidae. The record is from RNAcentral.
AUAAUAACUCCGCCUGUAGCUCUUAUAGGGUUGCUGCCGGUCCCAAGCCCGGGUAAAGGAGGAGGGUUGG